This 1375-nucleotide long non-coding RNA is filed under the name Sus scrofa (pig). Its description in RNAcentral is "lncRNA (ENSSSCG00005032357.1)". The record is from RNAcentral. Lineage: Eukaryota; Metazoa; Chordata; Mammalia; Artiodactyla; Suidae.
AUACUAGAGUUUUGGAAAAACCCCCAGGCAAAGUGUACCGGGAUUGCUCUGUAUAUUUCUUUCAACUGAAAGUGACUCUACAGUUAUGUCAGUAAAAUUUGCAAUUAAAGAUAAAUGAGUUAAAAGGACAUGGAAACCCUGGGUAGGUGGCAAUUACAUCCCAAAUGUAAGAGAGCUGACCUUGGGGCUACUAUUAGCCAAUUUUGAGAAGCUGUGAUAGGAAUGUUGCCAAAAAUGGGAAAUGCUGUUCCCAUUUUCCUAAGUGGUCUUCGCAUUUCUCUUAAUCCCUGAGUAGUUUAGAAUAGACUCUUAACUAGAUGACAGUAAUUGGAAAAUAAUAAAGAGGUCACCAGAAGCCAAUAAGGGUUCACUAAGAACAUUCAUGAUGGUAGCCGGAUUCCCAGUCUAUAGUGGGUGCAUCUUCAUUUCAACAAAGCACUCAAAAAAUCCCAUAUCGAAUUUUUGAAAAUAAGAUUGUACAGUUAGUUGGGGAUAGCCCACUGAGUGACUCUUGCUAGAGAAUGUUGAUUUUCUUGGCUUUAGGCCACACAAAAGGAAGGGCAAUAGCAAAAACCUAUUUUUAUUCGGAACUUGAAAAAAAAGUAGAGGCCCUGGUUAAAAAAAAUUGCAGAUGAUGUAAAGCUCUCAAAAGAAUGCUUCAUUAUGAUGAGUGGCAGUGUCAUUUCACAUUGGUGUGGAAGUGCUGGGAUAAUGGGCCCAAACUAAUGAAAAAUUUUUUUUAAUUAAAAAGCAACACUGGAGUUCCCUUUUGGCUCAGUGGCUUAAGGAUCUGGUGUUGUCAUUGCUGUGGCUCAAGCCACUGCUGUGGCAUGGGUCUGCUCUCUGGCCUGGGAAUCUCCAUAUGCUGUAGGCAUGGCCAAGAAAGAGAAAAAAGAAAUAAAAAGCAACAACUAGCCCUAAUUGCAGCUUAAAAGAAUACUCAUACGCGUGCAGGAUGACAGAAAAGGAGCUUCAUGAGAGGUCACGUGUGGGGAAAAAAAAAGCAAACAGAGGGAUUUAAUUGAUGCUACAAUUGGCGUAGCAUCCCAGUCCUGGGAGUGACCAGGACUGACUCUGGGCAGAGUCUAGGAAAAAAUAAGAGAUCGGAUUGAGGCCCUCACCCUGGAGAGGGGGUAGUUAAUGGCCAGAGGGGAGAUGUACCCAAGGAAGGGACCUGUGAUAACAAACCUGACUAGCAUCCAUGAGGACGCUGGUUUGAUCCCCGGCCUUGCUCAGUGGGUUAUGGAUCUGGUGUUGCCGUGAGCUGUGGUGUAGGUUGAAGAUGCGGCUCAGAUCCUGCUUUGCUGUGGCUGUGGUGUAGGCCGGCAGCUCAGCUCCGAUUUGACUCCUAGCCUGGGAACCUCCAUAUGCCAUG